CUUCUGUUCCUCUUCUCCUCUCUGUCGGGCUCAGAUUUGGUGAAUCGAGCUUAGAUUUAGUGUUAGUGAUCUACAGAGAUUUGAUAGUUUGUAUAAUCGAAGAUGUAGGUGAUGUUUCUUUGGUUGCUUGAACACGGGAAGGAGAAGAUGGGGUUGCUUCUGUCAACUGAAGUUUGGGUUUGUGAAGAACUGAUGGUGAGAUAGUGUUGUUGAUUGAUAAAGAAUCGAGGGGUUGUUAUUGGAUUGACUAGUUGAUGCUGUUCUGAUGAUGAAUCGAUUUGAAAAGUUACUCUUUAUUAACAAGGAUCGAUUGAAAGGAUGAACCAGUGGAUCAUGGAUCUCGAGGUACGCAUGGCUUGUCAUCAAAUCAGUUUCAGUUACCAGAAGAAAUGAUGCAGGUGAAGAUAUCCAUUUUCAUAGUUUAAAGCGUUACCGAAAUUGUGUUACAUUUAUGUAUCUUUUUAGUAUGUGUACUCUUCAUUUAUUGUAAAACAACACACUAAUAUAUUAAUAUCAUUUGAGUGU
Papaver somniferum (opium poppy) is the source of this 525-nucleotide long non-coding RNA. RefSeq lists it as uncharacterized. The transcript has 3 exons. NCBI's taxonomy places the organism in Eukaryota, Viridiplantae, Streptophyta, Magnoliopsida, Ranunculales, Papaveraceae. The record is from RefSeq and is a predicted model, not a curated record.